GAUGAACGCUAGCGAUAGGCUUAACACAUGCAAGUCGAGGGGCAGCACGGAAUAGCAAUAUUUUGGUGGCGACCGGCGCACGGGUGAGUAACACGUAUGCAAUCUACCCAUAACUGUGGAAUAACCCGUCGAAAGGCGGCCUAAUACCACAUAACAACAGUUGACCGCAUGGUUGACUGUUUAAAGAUUUAUCGGUUAUGGAUGGGCAUGCGUUCCAUUAGGUAGUUGGCGGGGCAACGGCCCACCAAGCCUGCGAUGGAUAGGGGUUCUGAGAGGAAGGUCGCCCACACUGGUACUGAGACACGGACCAGACUCCUACGGGAGGCAGCAGUAAGGAAUAUUGGUCAAUGGGCGAGAGCCUGAACCAGCCAAAUCGCGUGAAGGAUGAAGGUAUUAUGUAUUGUACACUUCUUUUACAGGGGAAUAAAGUGCGGGACGUGUCCCGUUUUGUAUGUACCCUGGGAAUAAGGAUCGGCUAACUCCGUGCCAGCAGCCGCCGCGG
This 502-nucleotide ribosomal RNA is filed under the name uncultured bacterium. RNAcentral's name for it is "partial 16S ribosomal RNA". It matches the Rfam family "Bacterial small subunit ribosomal RNA", at positions 28 to 523 of the family's 1533-position model. The record is from RNAcentral.